AACGAACGCUGGCGGCAUGCCUAACACAUGCAAGUCGAACGACAGCACCAGGUCGCUUGCCGUACGGGUGCGGAACGGGGCGGAACCGGCCCACAGGUUUGGAAUAACUCCUCGACAGGGGGACUAACAGCGGAUAGUGUCUCCGAACCAACGAUUUCUCGCCAUUGGAUGGGCCCGCGUUGGAUUAGCUAUUUGGUAGAGUAAAAGCCUACCACGGCGAAGAUUCAUAGCUGGUUUGAGAGCAGGGUCAGCCACACUGGGACUGCGACAUGAACCAGACUCCUACGGGAGGCAGCAGUGGCGAGUAUUGGCCAAUGGGCGAGAGUCUGAUACAGCCAUGCUGCGUGAGUGAUGCAGGUCUUAGGGGGGUAAAGCUCGUUUCACCGGGGUGUUCAUGACAGUACCGUAAGAAUAAGCACCGGCUAACUCCGUG
RNAcentral lists this ribosomal RNA (433 nucleotides) under uncultured bacterium. RNAcentral's name for it is "partial 16S ribosomal RNA". It matches the Rfam family "Bacterial small subunit ribosomal RNA", at positions 29 to 507 of the family's 1533-position model. The record is from RNAcentral.